GUCGGAGGAGCGGGACGAGUGCGACGGGAUGGCGACCGUCGCCGGCGACAGGUUCCUCGCCGUGAGCGGGUACCGCACGGCGAGGCAGGGCGGGUUCGAGCGCGACGCCGAGUGGUUCGACCCGGCGGCGCGCGCGUGGCGCCGCCUCGACCGCGUCCGCGCCCCUCCCUCCGCCGCCCACGUCGUGGUCCGCGGCCGCGUCUGGUGCAUCGAGGGCGCCGCCGUGAUGGAGUGGCUCGGCUCGCGCGGCGGGUGGCGCGAGGUCGGCCCCUCCCCCCCGGGCCUCAAGGCCGGCACCGCCCGCGCCGUCUGCGUCGGCGGCGGCGAGCGCGUCGUCGUCACCGGCGCCAUCGAGGACUCCGACGGCGGGUCCGGCCGCCACGCCCUCUGGGUGUUCGACGUAAAGACCAAGAACUGGACCGUGGUUCGCCCACCUCCAGAGUUCGCCGGAUUCGCCUUCUCCGUCGCCGCCGUCCGCAUCUGAUCCG
Molecule: microRNA precursor, 488 nt
Filed under: Oryza sativa (Asian cultivated rice)
Lineage: Eukaryota; Viridiplantae; Streptophyta; Magnoliopsida; Poales; Poaceae
Description: miR5075 stem-loop (osa-MIR5075)
Source: miRBase by way of RNAcentral